AAAAGAAACCAUGUUAUUUCCUAGAAUGUAAUGAAUGAGCUGGGAGAUGCUGGGGCAGGCUCCUUGGACCCUGGUCAGAAGUUCCUUUGGUGAAUGAUCCUGCAGACAUCACACGGGCUCAAAGGGCAUCAGAACCCCAGCUGAGAGGAGCCUCAGUAUCAGACGCAGCCGCCCAGCCUGCCUGCUGCAGUAGAAAUCGUACAACUGACAGAACGGAAGCUUUGUGACACCAAGGUACCAAAUUACAAACAGCAACUAAGGCCAUGCCAGGCAAGGGUGGAGUCACACACCCCUCGACUUAAGGAAUAAACUGUUCUGAUUGCCACAGGGUUUUCUUUUUCUCUAGCAGCUAAAUAAGCACUGUUAAAACCAUGGUAGCUCAGCACCAGGCACGGACUAACUCGCCCCCAACCCCUGUUCUAGCAGCUGUAACUACAGCUCUGAUGGGACAGGAGAUUGUUUUUAGUAACUUUCUUGUAUUAAGAGCCCACCCACCAU
Molecule: non-coding RNA, 498 nt
Organism: Chlorocebus sabaeus (green monkey)
Lineage: Eukaryota; Metazoa; Chordata; Mammalia; Primates; Cercopithecidae
Source: RefSeq, a predicted model, not a curated record